GUAAGUCUCAGUUCGGAUUGAAGGCUGAAAUUCGCCUUUAUGAAGCCGGAAUUGCUAGUAAUGGCAGGUCAGCAUACUGCCGUGAAUACGUUCCCGGGCCUUGUACACACCGCCCGUCACACCAUGAGAGUUGGGAAUACCCGAAGUCCAUGUUAAAGUGGCCGAAGGUAGGCUUGAUGAUUGGGGUGAAGUCGUAACAAGGUAAC
Molecule: ribosomal RNA, 206 nt
Filed under: uncultured bacterium
Lineage: Bacteria
Description: partial 16S ribosomal RNA
Rfam family: Bacterial small subunit ribosomal RNA
Source: RNAcentral